CCUACGGGUGGCAGCAGUGGGGAAUAUUGCACAAUGGGGGAAACCCUGAUGCAGCAACGCCGCGUGAGUGAAGAAGUAUCUCGGUAUGUAAAGCUCUAUCAGCAGGGAAGAAAAUGACAGUACCUGACUAUGAAGCCCCGGCUAACUACGUGCCAGCAGCCGCGGUAAUACGUAGGGGGCAAGCGUUAUCCGGAUUUACUGGGUGUAAAGGGAGCGUAGGCGGCUGCGCAAGUCAGAAGUGAAAGCUCGGGGCUCAACCGCGGAACUGCUUUUGAAACUGUGUAGCUAGAGUGCAGGAGAGGUAGGUGGAAUGCGUAGUGUAGCGGUGAAAUGCGUAGAUAUUAGGAGGAACACCGGUGGCGAAGGCGGCUUACUGGACUGUAACUGACGUUGAGGCUCGAAAGCGUGGGGAGCAAACAGGAUUAGAUACCCCAGUAGUC
Molecule: ribosomal RNA, 440 nt
Filed under: uncultured bacterium
Lineage: Bacteria
Description: partial 16S ribosomal RNA
Rfam family: Bacterial small subunit ribosomal RNA
Source: RNAcentral